This is a small nuclear RNA of Gorilla gorilla gorilla (western lowland gorilla), 109 nucleotides long. Lineage: Eukaryota; Metazoa; Chordata; Mammalia; Primates; Hominidae. The record is from Ensembl.
GUGCUUUUGCUUCAGCAGCACAUAUACUAAAAUUGGAACAAUACAGAAAAGAUUAGCAUGGCCCCUGCCCAAGGAUGACUCACAAAUUCAUGAAGUGUUCUAGUAAUUU